CUUCGGAGCCGCACGUUCGCUCCGCCGUUCUUUAAUGAAUUCGUUCAGCGCAGGCAGUGGAGAGGAAAGUCCGGACGUCACAGGGCAGGAUUCCUCGUGAAAGCGGGGAAGGCUCGCUUCAAGGCGAGUUGAUGGAUAGCGCCACAGAAAACACACCGCCCACCUUCGCCAAGGCUUCGGCGGGCAGGCCUCUUUUGGGAGUUCUGUUUGGUGGAGGAGGGUAAGGUUGAAAUGGUGGGGUAAGAGCCCACCGCCGCUCCGAGCAAUCGGGCGGGCAGGGCAAGCCCAAUCCGACGCAAGACAAAAUAGGGGGCAGAGCGGCCCGUUUUUUAUGCCCCGGGUAUGUCGCGCCUUUUUCGAAAGGGUUCCGCAUUCGUGCGGGACAGAUAAAUGAACGUGGCCCUGCUUCGGCAGUGCACAGAAUCCGGCUUAUAGGCUCCGGAGCUAG
This 448-nucleotide RNase P RNA is filed under the name Opitutaceae bacterium. RNAcentral describes it as "RNase P RNA component class A". It matches the Rfam family "Bacterial RNase P class A". Rfam says of the family: Ribonuclease P (RNase P) is a ubiquitous endoribonuclease, found in archaea, bacteria and eukarya as well as chloroplasts and mitochondria. Its best characterised activity is the generation of mature 5'-ends of tRNAs by cleaving the 5'-leader elements of precursor-tRNAs. Lineage: Bacteria; Pseudomonadati; Verrucomicrobiota; Opitutia; Opitutales; Opitutaceae. The record is from RNAcentral.